CCCUUAGAUGUCCUGGGCCACACGCGCGCUACAAUGACUCACUCAGAAAGUUUUUCCUGAUCCGGAAGGAUUCGGGUAAUCUUCAUAGCAUGAGUCGUGUUAGGGAUCGAUCUUUGCAAUUAUAGAUCUUGAACGAGGAAUGCCUAGUAAGUGCAGCUCAUCAGGCUGUACUGAUUACGUCCCUGCCCUUUGUACACACCGCCCGUCGCUCCUACCGAUUGAGUGGUCCGGUGAACCUUCUGGAUUAAGCAGCAAUGCUUGAGAAGUUAGGUAAACCUUAUCACUUAGAGGAAGGAGAAGUCGUAACA
RNAcentral lists this ribosomal RNA (308 nucleotides) under uncultured eukaryote. Its description in RNAcentral is "partial 18S ribosomal RNA". It matches the Rfam family "Eukaryotic small subunit ribosomal RNA", at positions 1470 to 1796 of the family's 1831-position model. The record is from RNAcentral.